This 493-nucleotide ribosomal RNA is filed under the name uncultured bacterium. Its description in RNAcentral is "partial 16S ribosomal RNA". It matches the Rfam family "Bacterial small subunit ribosomal RNA", at positions 30 to 523 of the family's 1533-position model. The record is from RNAcentral.
AUUGAACGCUGGCGGCAUGCUUUACACAUGCAAGUCGAACGGUAACAGGUUAAGCUGACGAGUGGCGAACGGGUGAGUAAUGCAUCGGAACGUGCCCGGUCGUGGGGGAUAACGCAGCGAAAGCUGCGCUAAUACCGCAUACGAUCUAAGGAUGAAAGCGGGGGACCGUAAGGCCUCGCGCGAUCGGAGCGGCCGAUGUCAGAUUAGGUAGUUGGUGGGGUAAAGGCUCACCAAGCCAACGAUCUGUAGCUGGUCUGAGAGGACGACCAGCCACACUGGGACUGAGACACGGCCCAGACUCCUACGGGAGGCAGCAGUGGGGAAUUUUGGACAAUGGGCGAAAGCCUGAUCCAGCAAUGCCGCGUGCAGGAAGAAGGCCUUCGGGUUGUAAACUGCUUUUGUACGGAGCGAAAAGGUCUCCUCUAAUACAGGGGGCUCAUGACGGUACCGUAAGAAUAAGCACCGGCUAACUACGUGCCAGCCGCCGCAGUAA